This 1064-nucleotide long non-coding RNA is filed under the name Struthio camelus australis. Its description in RNAcentral is "lncRNA (ENSSCUG00000000844.1)". Lineage: Eukaryota; Metazoa; Chordata; Aves; Struthioniformes; Struthionidae. The record is from RNAcentral.
GGCAGUUAUUUGCCUGAUAUCGGAUGAAGACGGACUGCGAAUAACAAUGGCUGUGAUUUCAUAAGAGCAGCCUCCAGCUUAUUGAAAAAACUGCUGCAAAGGUUCUUUCCCACCACCUCUGCACAAGGAAAAUGCAUCAUUUUGGAAAAACACCCUGUUAACUUCGGGCUAGUUCAUCUUGCUAAAUAACCCAAGCUGGUGACUGUGGCGUGACUAUUUCACAGACCUACAAUGCCACCACCGCCACAAUGCAGGUAGCAACUCCUCUGUCUUUUCAGCGCUCCCAGGCACUUCUGCUCACCCGUCUCACAGCUUUGCUCCCAAUAAACCACAGAGGAAAGAGAAGUUAUCUAAUGCUGCCCAGAAACUACGGAGCGGGAUGCAGAGAGCUCUGUGUUUCCUUGCUACACCUCUUUUCUGCUGUCCAGGCUGAGCUCAUGCUCUCAGAAGUUCCUCUUUUGGUGGAAGUAACGUGUCCAGCACCUCUCCCAUCCUACAGUGAACUCGCUGGUCCCUUAUUUUCUGCGUAGACUAGUGUGUAUGUAGGUUACUGUGUGUGUUUGUGCAUGUGGAGAAGAUAUACCUGUUUAAAUUUGUGGGUAUGCGUGCUUGUUAGGAGUUCCAUAAUUUCUCCUGGAGUUUCCUUAUGUGUAAAAUGGAGAUGAUAACACGUAAUUACCUAUCUUGCAGGGCUGUUGUAAGGACAAAUUAACCAAUGCUUCUGUGGGUGUUUAGAGAUGAAAAGCAUGAUAUUAAGACUAAAUAUAAUGAUUGAGUGUUGUAGCAGAGAGUUUGUAUUUAUUAUGGUGAUUGAACAUGAGACGAGAGUGCUUUGUGGGUGUUUAUUUCUUGUGCAGCACCAAGUAUUUGUGGCAGGUGGGAAGCUAAGUUUGGGGUAGGUGUCAGAUAAACGGUUAAAGAUAAUCUUUAACCUUAUAUUCUGAUGAUUUUAUUAUCUUAACUAAAGCUGAUGCUGAACAAGGGAGAAGAGAAUAGGGGAAUGAAAAUAGGUCCAAGCUGUAGAGGAAAGGAAAGGAAUGAAAAUAAAAUGCAAUUAAAGAUCA